CACAGUGAAGCCAAGUGGAGGCACAUCAGUAUGGGCUGAGAGAGUCCAAUUGGAUAUAAAGUGUGAAAUCCAGGUGCAGAGAUCUGAAUUCUCUGAUUCUUUCCCUCAGUUGCCUAGUUUGCAGCUCCUGUUAUGAGCUAGGCCGAUCCAAAUACCAGAAGACAAGAAUUUAUCCAAGACCUUGGGAUACUACCUGCCAAGAAGAACUCAAAGAAGUUCUCCAGGUCCAGAGUUCGCAUGUGCCUUGCACUUGAGGAAGGAACUUCCUCCUGACUGCUUCGUCUUUUGGUCUGCCAUACUGAAAUAUGAAAAAUGGAUGAAGUAUACAAGAUCUCUUCUACCGAGAAGGUCCAGCAGCUGGAAAGAGAACUAGCAGCACAGCUGGCAGAGCUGAAGGCAGAAAUAGAAGACAAUGGGGUGCUCCAGGGAACACCGAGUAGGGCAUACAGGUAACAAGGAUUUCUUGGGGAGUGAGGAAGAGUCAGAUUAUAGCAGUGUAUUGUAUUCUGUGGUGUUUUUUUUUCCCCAUGAUACAAAUGUCAUGUGUCUAUGUAACUGUUCAACAGAGACCUGAAUACACAAGUGGGAGCCAGGAAUAACAGCUUUUUUUAUUGCACAUCUGCCACAGAACUACUGUUGAAAUGAGAGUGAAUACCUACAUAUUAAAAAAAACCAAAAACCCUAAAGCUGUUUUAUGUUGUGUACCGCAAACAUAACUUUAAAUCUCUCAAUAAUGUCAAGUAUUUCCUUCUUACACUGAAGAGGAAGUAGCUUCAAACAUAAUACCAGGGUGUAUAAACAGGACAGCCACAUGUAAGACAGCUGCUCUUACUUUCCUCAGCAGCAGUGAGAUGUCAGCUAUGGCAAUGUACCCAGUUUUGGCAUUUUGCUUCACGAAGGCUGUAGACCACCUGCAGAAUAUCUGGAGGAAAACAGAGUUCAGUAAGACUUGAGUAGGAGACUUGAAAAGGUGAAAGGAGCUGGGCUUAUGUCUCCACUCCCGUUUUCUCUAGAUUAUAAGUCUUCAAACAUAUGGGAGGUUGCUGUGAAGAGGGAGGGAAUAAACUUCUCUCAGUGUCCACUUAUGAAUAGGACAGAAAAUAACAGGCAAAAGUUCAAACUGAGAACAACUUUUCAAGACAGUAUUAAUUAAACACUGAUAUUUUGUCUAGUCUGGGAGGUUGUUGAC
This is a non-coding RNA of Struthio camelus australis, 1189 nucleotides long. Lineage: Eukaryota; Metazoa; Chordata; Aves; Struthioniformes; Struthionidae. The record is from RefSeq and is a predicted model, not a curated record.